This 683-nucleotide ribosomal RNA is filed under the name Clavispora carvajalis. RNAcentral describes it as "eukaryotic LSU rRNA". The stretch from base 274 to 427 matches the Rfam family "5.8S ribosomal RNA". The record is from RNAcentral. Lineage: Eukaryota; Fungi; Ascomycota; Pichiomycetes; Serinales; Metschnikowiaceae.
UCUUGGUCAUUUUGAGGAAGUAAAAGUCGUAACAAGGUUUCCGUAGGUGAACCUGCGGAAGGAUCAUUUCAGUAUUCUACUACCAGCGCUUGAUUGCGCGGUGGUAAACCUUUCACACUUUGUUUUUUUUUUUUUAGACACCAUUGCUUUGGUGAUGGGGGGUAAAAUCCACAUCGCCAGAGGUUUUUUCAAAAACACUUUUUUUUUUAGGUAACUUUUUUUAUUGUCAAUAAAUAAUUUGUCUGAUUUUUUUCAGGUAAUACAAAUAUUUUUAACUUUCAACAACGGAUCUCUUGGUUCUCGCAUCGAUGAAGAACGCAGCGAAUUGCGAUAAGUAUUGUGAAUUGCAGAAUUUCGUGAAUCAUCGAAUCUUUGAACGCACAUUGCACCCUGUGGUAUUCCACAGGGUAUGCCUGUUUGAGCGUCAUUUCUCUCUCAAAACUCUAAGUUUUGGUGUUGAGUGAUACUCGGGUUUUUUGCUUGAGUUUGCUUGAAAAGUAUUGGCAAGGGAAGUAAUUCUUGUGAGAGCUAUUUUUUCAAUGUAUUUGGUUUUUCCAACUCGUUGAUUGAUAGAAGGAGCAGUAGUUGCUAAUAGGCCCGGCCUUUCAACAAACAAACCAAAGUUUGACCUCAAAUCAGGUAGGAUUUCCCGCUGAACUUUUGCAUAUCAAUAAGCGGAGGAA